AGCAUAUCCAAUAAGCGGAGGAAAAGAAACCAACAGGGAUUGCCCUAGUAACGGCGAGUGAAGCGGCAACAGCUCAAAUUUGAAAUCUGGCGUAAGCCCGAGUUGUAAUUUGUAGAGGAUGCUUCUGGGUAGCGGCCGGUCUAAGUUCCUUGGAACAGGACGUCAUAGAGGGUGAGAAUCCCGUAUGUGACUGGCUUGCACCCUCCACGUAGCUCCUUCGACGAGUCGAGUUGUUUGGGAAUGCAGCUCUAAAUGGGAGGUAAAUUUCUUCUAAAGCUAAAUACCGGCCAGAGACCGAUAGCGCACAAGUAGAGUGAUCGAAAGAUGAAAAGCACUUUGGAAAGAGAGUUAAAAAGCACGUGAAAUUGUUGAAAGGGAAGCGCCCGCAACCAGACUUUGCGGCGGUGUUCGGCUGGUCUUCUGACCGGUUUACUCGCCGCCGUGAGGCCAUCAUCGUCUGGGACCGCUGGAUAAGACCUGAGGAAUGUAGCUCCCUUCGGGGUGUGUUAUAGCCUCUGGUGAUGCAGCGCGUCUCGGGCGAGGUCCGCGCUUCGGCAAGGAUGAUGGCGUAAUGGUUGUCGGCGGCCCGUCUUGAAACACGGACCAAGGAGUCUAACAUCUAUGCGAGUGUUCGGGUGUCAAACCCCUACGCGUAAUGAAAGUGAACGGAGGUGGGAACUUUUUGUGCACCAUCGACCGAUCCUGAUGUCCUCGGAUGGAUUUGAGUAAGAGCAUAGCUGUUGGGACCCGAAAGAUGGUGAACUAUGCCUGAAUAGGGUGAAGCCAGAGGAAACUCUGGUGGAGGCUCGCAGCGGUUCUGACGUGCAAAUCG
RNAcentral lists this ribosomal RNA (832 nucleotides) under Pseudocercospora neriicola. Its description in RNAcentral is "LSU rRNA". It matches the Rfam family "Eukaryotic large subunit ribosomal RNA", at positions 37 to 900 of the family's 3401-position model. Lineage: Eukaryota; Fungi; Ascomycota; Dothideomycetes; Mycosphaerellales; Mycosphaerellaceae. The record is from RNAcentral.